CGUACACUCCUACGGGAGGCAGCAGUGGGGAAUAUUGGACAAUGGGCGCAAGCCUGAUCCAGCCAUGCCGCGUGAGUGAUGAAGGCCCUAGGGUUGUAAAGCUCUUUCACCGGUGAAGAUAAUGACGGUAACCGGAGAAGAAGCCCCGGCUAACUUCGUGCCAGCAGCCGCGGUAAUACGAAGGGGGCUAGCGUUGUUCGGAUUUACUGGGCGUAAAGCGCACGUAGGCGGACUAUUAAGUCAGGGGUGAAAUCCCGGGGCUCAACCCCGGAACUGCCUUUGAUACUGGUAGUCUUGAGUUCGAGAGAGGUGAGUGGAAUUCCGAGUGUAGAGGUGAAAUUCGUAGAUAUUCGGAGGAACACCAGUGGCGAAGGCGGCUCACUGGCUCGAUACUGACGCUGAGGUGCGAAAGCGUGGGGAGCAAACAGGAUUAGAUACCCGAGUAGUCCCAUG
Molecule: ribosomal RNA, 453 nt
Filed under: uncultured organism
Description: partial 16S ribosomal RNA
Rfam family: Bacterial small subunit ribosomal RNA
Source: RNAcentral